Molecule: long non-coding RNA, 240 nt
Filed under: Calidris pygmaea (Spoon-billed sandpiper)
Lineage: Eukaryota; Metazoa; Chordata; Aves; Charadriiformes; Scolopacidae
Description: lncRNA (ENSCPGG00000012765.1)
Source: RNAcentral
AUGCAGGGUGGAAGGGACAGGGGGCAGAGAUGUCUUCCAAACCUGGUAUUGAGGAAAAGGACCACAGGACUACCUCAGGAAAGAAGAUACAACUUGGGAGAAGAUACAAACUUGGGAGGGAUCUUUCUUGCAAGUGAAAUAUUAGAAGCUAGUGAAAUCAUUCCAGUGCACCCACGCCAAGUGGGUGGAAGAGAGAGAUUUAAUAGCAGGAUGAGACAAAAGGAUACGCAGCAGGCCUGA